Anas platyrhynchos (mallard) is the source of this 5537-nucleotide long non-coding RNA. RefSeq lists it as uncharacterized. The record is from RefSeq and is a predicted model, not a curated record. Lineage: Eukaryota; Metazoa; Chordata; Aves; Anseriformes; Anatidae.
CAUAGUGUCUAGCUAAGCAUUACACAGCUCCUUACUUCAGCAUGGAGUUUUCACAACUCCCGUUCCUCAAACAGAACUCCUUGUUUUUACAAAAGACAAUGAACAAACAUUUAUUGUGUAUUACAUAUAUCACUAUGGAAAUUGCCAGGCCAACAGUAAGGCCAGAGUGUGGAUUUAUCCACACCUGCAAAAGCAUGCUUCAUUACCUGCAUUUUUGAAGCCACCUUGUAAAAGCAUAUCCCAUCACAGCAUAGCUUUGCUGAAAUCAUUCAAAAAUGCUUCUGGGACAAAUGUGUUCCACCUCUUCCUAUCCCAGUUGGCAUGGAUGUUGGUUAAAGUCUUUCUGUACAGAUGGAGUUUUUUGCUGGUAUACACUCACCAAAAAGCAUUUAGAAUAAACCUAGUUGUAGCACAUGCACCAGCAAAUGAUAAUUAAUCUUGUGGGAUAAUUGUGAUGGUAUAGUGCUAUGUCAAAAAAUAUAUCAGGGUAAGUAGCCUUCAAGAAUUUAUUACAUUCCCAACUAUCUAUAGUUGUGCUUGAAAAUGCUUCUCCUUGUGGUUAUGCUUGAGCUGAAUUUUUCUGGGAAGUUUAAUAAAAUUCCUUUGAACUGUUUUAGAGCUAGACAAGUAUAGAAAAAAAAAUUUCUAGGCACAUAGAAAUGUUCUUGCUUUUAUUCUAGUGAAGAAAAAAAAAAACACACGUUUUUCACAUGUUUAAGAAAGAAAAACACAGAUACAAAAGAAACAAACACAGUGUAGAUUUUUAAAGAUUGUUUUAAUGAGAUGUAAAUUACCUCACUGUACACAGCUGAAGUCCUUUGUUCUCCAGCCGAGAUUCACUUAAGGAAGCAGACAGUGUUUCUUUGUGGUUCCUCCCGAAGGGUGAAAAGUUUUACUCCCUUCUCAAGCCUCAGAAGCAGCUCUGCUGUCAUGAGCAUCACGCUCUUCAGUACUUCAUUUGCACAGCAGUCUCGACUGGAAAGUUUGCCAGCACAGCUACAGUGGAAGAGCUCGUAAAGCCUCCUAGACAGGAUCAAGUUUAGAUGACUACAAUAUAUUACUAUAUAUUGCUUAUAUCAAAACAGCAACGGAUGUUUUUCUUGAAAGUACAUUGACAGGAUUUUGCCAGCAAACGUAUUGAUUAUUGAAUGUUGUUUUAAUCCUGGUGUUGCCAAGUCAGCAAAACCUUUAAAUAUAAACCCUGCCUCCCAGCCCUGCCAGUCCGAUCACUCCUUGUCCAGGUCAUGCAGGACUCAUGCAGCUUCUCACACUUUUAUUCACGUUCAUAGUUGUACCUUGGUGACCUCUGACCAACUAACCAUAAGCUUUUUAUAACUGGAUUAUCUCCUCUUCAGAGCUAAGCACUCCAGUUACUCUGGAUGCAGAGAGUCUAGUUUUGUUUGUAAGGUCAAACGGUAGAAAACGUUGGAAAUGCAGACUCUGGAAAGCAUAACAAACUUUUGGCUUGCGCUUAUAGUGUCUGGUGGUGGACAGGACUCCACUGGAGAUGCAUGGUGAAGGAACCAUCUGCUAACAUUGCAGUACAGGAGGGCAGGCAGGCUGCAAACAGCAACAGGACAAGAUCAAAGGCUAACGACAGGGGAAAAACUGUUGAAUCCGCAUAUCCCUGCCUUUGUCAAUAUACACUAAAUGAAGUGGCAUAAAAACCCAACCUCUGAAACAUUUUGGACAACAUUAUCAAACCCAGUGCCUGGUAUGCAUACAUAACACCUGGCAUUGUGAUGGAUAACCACAUCUUUCUUUCUGCCAACUCCAGCUAGCUGGGCUACCUGUAAGAGCCUGACCAAAGCAGCUUCUAUGGUAAGCAACUGCCUGAGCAGAUGCUAAAGACUUUCUGAGUUCCCACAAAGGCUUGUGUAACCUUUCGAAACCCUGUGUUGUCACAGCUGGGUUGUUACCAGUACCCUAGUAGGACUGAAAUGGCAUCUUCUUGGGUCUUGGGAGAAUGAAGGACUCAAAACCCGGAUAUAUUUUACUUUGGCACAUCUGUGUCAUCUGCAGCUACCCAGGCAUGUAUUUAUUACUGUUCUGCACUACCUGUGACUGCCUGGGUGACAUUUUGCUGGGUGAGGUUCUGGGUUGCUACAGAAACUGUCUCUACAGAUCCAUUCAAUCAAGCAAGGCUCUAGUGACAAGACUCGUGCUUUCAGCAGGAACAUAAAUAAUUCACAUUUUUGCUGGCCUGCUCUCCUUGCCUUCCCUGCAAGCAGACUAAUGGCUCCAAGGAAAGCAGCUGUGACUAGCUGGAACACAGAGCUCAGAAUUAAAGGUGUAUUUACUAAGAUGCAUUUUCAAAAUGUUUUGACUCAGAGCCUAUUUUUUGUUUUUAGGAGAGGAGCAAGAUGAUCAACAGUUUUUUUUUUUUUUUUUUUUUUUUUUUUUUUUUUUUUUUUUUUUUUUUUUUCUGAAAGAUAACGGGAGAAGCUCUUCUUUGAACCAGAACUGUCCCUAUCACAUCACAUCACAUGCUUCCAGUUACCCUUUGCUGCAGCACCACAGCCAAGGAGGCAGCUGGUUUCCUGACUGAUAAAGCACAGUCACGUGCAGGCGAUCAGUCCAGUGUUUCAUCCACCUCCCCCCCCCCCCCAGCUCAGCUUCUGCUCUUCUGAUCUGGGAGUUCAGCUCUUCCUCCUGCAGCAACAACCUCCACUUUUGCAGCUGGUUUCAAUGAAUUUGGGAUAGAUGCCAAUGAACAUGGGAGAAUCUGCAGCAGUGUUUGGGCAAUCCAAGUUCUCGUCCACCUUUUGCAAUUCAGUCACCUGAGAACCUUGUGAGUAAAAUUCGUGUAGUGAAAUAGUAUUUAGGUUGUAUCUGUGUUUAAUGUGACUGUAGCUAGCUUGACAUCUGCUAAAAUCAUUGACCAACCUUUCUGUUAUGUUUCAGUGCAGUCUGAUAAUAAUCACACUCUAUGGUCUAUAAUAUGUAAUCUCUAUAUAAAAAAAAAAAAAAAAAGAAAAAAAAAAAAAAAGCUGUUAGAUAUCAUUUGUCAUCUUUUGUAGUCAGCUGCAUCUGUUGGAGGUUGUGGGUGCUGGGGGCUGCCACCCAAAUGUGCAGCCCCUCCUGCCUUCCCGUUCCUGAUCACACCUGCAUCUGGCUGUGGGAUCUUUUUUUUUUUUUUGGCAUUUCUGUGCAUUGCAUCAGCUUUCUAAAGGUUGUGAAGUUUUUUGUUUGUUUUUGUCUGCUUGUUUGUUUGGGGGAAUGUAUCUGCUUUUCCUAAGUCCCCUUUGCAAAAUAUUUUUAACCUGCCAGCUCUGUGAAGCAAACUAUACAGAGCUUGAAAUGCUCUGGAUUUCUCUUUCUGGUCUCCCCUCCAAACAUCAGCAGCCUAUGGAUCCACGUCAGUGUAAAGACCUGUUCCAGCCACUGGGAUCAAUGCGUGUGCUAUUUCUGGCACCAAAAGCAGUGGCAGGGUAUGAGGAAUGAUAGAUGCUUGCUGUGAUCCAUUUUAUUUUCUUGAUCCUUUGAGAAAAAACAACUGCCUCCCCAUCUCCUUCUCAUCCUGUAGUAGUGCCACUGAUCAUUCAUGCCUGAGUGUCCGACUUUGAACUGGUCCCUACUGAGUUUCAUUCUUCAAAGCAUUGCUCCAAGUGUUGAGAGUAUAGUGAAUUCAAACCAUCCUCCAUGAUACUCACAGUCUUUGCAGUUUUGCACUAUCAGCAAUUUUUGUACAUGCGUUUUCUAUUCCGUCAUCCAUACUUUUAGUGAAAACAUUAAACAAACCCAUAGGUAGGCUAGACCCCUGUAGCCACUUCUCUGUCUUGACAAGGAAUGAAGCCACGUUGUACUGACCCUGUAGGUAUUUUAGCUAGAUUAUGUGAAUGCAUCAUGAGACAAAUAUUUUACUGAAGUCCAGAUAUCUGAUAUCUAUUUCUUUUUGCUUAUUUAUGAAUCUUCUAAGUCAUUCAUAGAAAGAAUUUUGAUUGUUAUUUUUACCUGAUACAAUUUCAUGGUAGUUGCUAUUCCUCUUCUUGUUAUUUUCCAAAUGCUCAGAAACAACCUUUUAUAUACUCCAAACUGAAGAUGACUGGCCUUUAACUUAUUACUUGCCAGGACCAAAUCCAUCAGAUUUAACUCCUCAUUGAUGGUAUUAUACACUUGCCUUACAUUAACCCACUAGAAAAACUGGAAGUCAUUUACAUAAUGAACACACAGCCAGCGCAACCACGUGCUCUCCGUGAAGAGCAUCUGACUAGCAGAGAAGCAUCUGAUCUUUGCCCAACACUUUAAAAUCCCUUGGGGAAAAAUAAAUAAAUAAAUAAAUAUAGACCCGAAAACAAAGAGCAGUUCCUUUAUUUGUGUAUAGAAGGUAGAAGCAGACCCAAGAAAGACCCCUGCAGGUAGAUAACUCUGUUCUGCCAGUGAAUCACUGAUAAAUAUCUUCUGAGAACAGUUAUACAACAGUCUAGCACCAACCUUAAAGACAUUUCAACUGCUUUGCUUACGGGAAUGUUGUGUGAGAGAAAAGCCGUAAUGAAUUGGCCAUCUUUAGUGCUUUUUUUCCUCUCCAAAUGUCUUCUUACCCAAACAAGGCUUUUGAUUGUUUUGAUUUUUUUUUUCAGAUAAAUUUUUGUUGCCAAUUUCUAAUCACUUUGACGCUACUGUAAAAAAAAAUUAAAAAGGAUAAAGAAAUUAAAAUGUCUGCAGAAAUUUGGAAAAUAUUUAAAUGUAUAUGUAUGUGUAUUUUUCCUAAGUAAAAACAAAGUUUAAGAUUAUCUUUAAUUUAACAGAAGAACACUAUCUACCAGAAAGUGCAAGGUUUGGCAGUGAGAUGCAAAGCAGUUUUCCCUGAAGUCAGCAGAUAAGAUGGGUGGUGUUUGUUUUUUGUGGCUCCUCAGAUUAGAAGGAAGCUCUGUGAAUUUGAUGUUGCACCUCAGGGUGUUUUUCUGGGAAAAAAAGUUGUGAUUCUUGGCUAAAAAUCCCUACUAAUUUGCCUAUAUGCUGGGAAGUGUCAGUUAUAGGGAUCCUACUUACACUGUUCGACCAACACUAGCUUUACAUUGUUGGUGUAUGGAACCACAGAAACAUUCAGGUUGGAAAAGACCUUCAAGAUCACCAAGUCCAGCUGUCAGCCUGACCUACAAAGUCCCAUCCCUAAGCUGUGUCCCUCAGGGCCACAUCCACGCGUCUCUUGAAAUACCUCCAGGGACAGAAACUCCAUGGCUUCCCUGGGCAGCCCAACGUUUGACCACCCUCUCAGUGAAAAAAUUCAUCCUGAAAUCCAGGCUGAACCCCCCCCCCAGUGCAACUUGAGACCACGCACAGUGUUGCAAAAGUUUCCAGCACCUCUCCUGGGAAAAUCUGCCCUCGGGAUGUAGUAGAUGUACUUACUCAACACAGCUGUGUGCCAGCAGCAUCAACACUCAUGGGACCCUGAGCAGAGCCAUAACAGACACACUCUCUUUUCCCACUCCUAUACUGGGUGGCUUGUGCUGCUGUUCAUCUCCCUACCAACAGUUCUUGUCCCUCCCUGGUUUUCAGUCUAGACAAAAAAUAAAAAAGCGUGGGCUACAAAACAA